Cuculus canorus (common cuckoo) is the source of this 6617-nucleotide long non-coding RNA. RefSeq lists it as uncharacterized. NCBI's taxonomy places the organism in Eukaryota, Metazoa, Chordata, Aves, Cuculiformes, Cuculidae. The transcript is spliced from 3 exons. The record is from RefSeq and is a predicted model, not a curated record.
GGAAGUCUAGAUUUUGCAAAAAUCAGGUUGACUUCAUCAGACUUUGCCUUAUGCUUUGAUGGGUGAUUCUUCAUGCAUGAGAGGGAGGUGUGCUUUUUUCAGAGAUUAUUUACUGGGUUAUUACAGAAACCACAUUUCAUAAAUGGGGAUCACGCUGGUAGAAAUAAACAAUUAGCACAACAAGAAUUCUGCAACCUUCCCUUGCCAGCUGUGUGUAACAUAACACUAAAAUUAUAAACUAGAAGGAUCUAUCAUGAACAAUCUGCAUUGUCACUUUGACCCCUCUUUUACGCUGUUGCGUGAUUGAGAUUCCCAAUGUGCAGGACAUGAGGUAUGCAAGACUGAAAGCAAGGCUUGCUCCAACCUGCAGCCUUCUGAAUGGCUCACAAGAAAGAAGAAGCUGGUGAUAUUAAUGCCUCUCCUCUGCACUGCCUCUCUCCUGCCUUCCCUGACAAUGCGCCCCAGGACAUGAGGAGCUCUCUGCCAGUCUUCUACUUGGUGGUAAUUUUCAGCUGCUUGAACAUUUUUUUAGCCAUUGCUGAAGGAAAAAAACUUAAAAUUGAUAUAGUGAUUGAUUCUGCUGUUUUUAGAACUGUCUACUGCAUCCUGAACAUUUUCCAUGCAUCAGUGACUGGGAACAUUUUAAGCUGGCGUCAAAGAUAGAGUCUGUGGGGAAGUCUGCACACAAAUAAUACUUCUUCAUUGUUCCUGCUCAGCAGUGAUCAUGCCUUUUGCAAGCUGCUUCACCCAUUGCAGCAGAAGACUAAACUAAAAAUAAUCAAUCAGAACUUUUUUCCCUAAGCAAUCUAUAUUCUCAUUUUCAGAGCCAAUGUACCACUAGAUGAAAGAAAGAGAAAGUGCUCGACUCCAUUAGCACCAGCCAUCCAGUAGAGCUCGAUUUGGAAGGCGUGUGAUAACAUCCAUGUAAGGAAGCCUAGGAGAGGCCACACAGGAAGAUUAUAUAAAUGAGAACCACAGCUGUAGAUGAAUAAUGAAAUACAAUGAAAUGGGCUAGAGGAUACUGACUAUCCUUUGGCAUAAGGAAACAAUCAAACUUCUGCAAGCCUUUAUUCAGGAAAAAUGCCCUGACAUCAGCCUAUAUAGACAACAAUCUGCAAGAGUGGCAUAAAAAAAUAACUCCAGAUCUUGAAGUAGUCUCCUAAGCAGAGACACUUAAAAAACAAAGGUAGUCUUUGAAAGUGUAGUGACUAUAGUUCCCAUUCAAGUCAAACCCUAAUCUCCUAGGAGAAGAAGGUGAACAGGAAGGAGUUGUACACAACGUUUGAGCUUAUGGAUUUGGUCAGGGUCAUUAAAAUGGUGAAGGCCUUCUUCACAGGCCAGCAGAGAAACAAGCAGAGUGAUAAUCUGUUUCUGAAGACACUCUGGGAGAAGCAUUUCCCAGGUAUAUGUGAGCAACCAAGAUGUAUAUCCAUCCCGUCAAACUGGAUCUGGAGGUAUCACAACUGUGGGAACUACCGUGGCUACUCAUGUAUACUCAGCUGUGCAGUAUCUGCCAGCAGCUCUGGGCAUGGCCCUAGGCAGCAGAGAGCUGUGCAAGGCAAGGAACAAACAGAUAAUUUUUGUCAGUGACUUUUUUCCUCUGCAUUUGGUCUGAGUAAGAAAUGGUAGGAAGGGAAAGGUGAAAGCAAAGUAUAGUAAUAUGGAAAGAUACUGAGAAUACAGAUACUCUUGACCUUGCCUAUACAGAAGCUAGAAGGAGGACAAUAAUCUAGAAGUGGUGCAAAAAAGGGAAUUUACUCAUAAAGAAAAAGUAAAGAAAGAGGCUAGAAGUCCAGAAGGAAUAUGAUUUUUAGUGAAAACCCCUCUAAAAAGUAGUUCCCUUGGGAAAGAGCUGGUUGCUGCAUUCAGAUAUCUUUGACUAUCUCUAGGAGCUCUCAUAGCUGCUACCUCUUGGACCACAAAUGGGUAAAUUCCACUUACUGGCUCUGUAAGAAAUCUUAGGUGUCAAACCCGAGAAAUUCACAUAGCAACCAGGUUUUGGAAAGGAAAAGAGUUUAGGUCCCCACAAAAAGCUCAUUGUGGAUGUUUUUAUGGAGAAGGAGAGUGAAACUUUCAGGCCUUCAAGUACAGGCCAGAGAAUUUCAGCAAUGUAACACCUGGAUCUUGGAGGGACAGCUAAGCUGAAGCCAGUAGACAUGGAGAAUGCUCUCAAUCCCUGUAAAUGUGCAUACAAUUCUAAUUUUGCUUUCAUAAUUUCUGAAAAUAGCCUCUGAUGAAAGAAAAGUGCUAUGUUGAGUGUCCUGUAUGCCCUCUAUACAUCUUUACUGCCUCUAUUUGCACACUUUAGAAACAAGAUAAUUCUGCUUGUCCUCACAUUUGAAUAUUGAGCAGGAAAUCCUGUUUACCAAGUUACUACUUUUCUGGGUAAAGAGUUCCUUUGCUAGCUCUUUACUCCUGGGACAGACAGAGCUCUAAGGAAAAAGAAUAAUUUGCAGCACAUAAUUUAUUUGGCAAAAGUUAGCCUUUUGCUCUUUUUUUCCAUGAGCGCAGCAGCAGCAUGGUUUCUUGAAUGUACUCAUUAUUCAAAUAUAUUCUCUGAAUAAACAGCUGAACACUCUGUACUGUCAGAUUUUGCCAUGACAUGUUGACUGGUGAUGCAUCCCUCCAAAGGCUUGGCUGAUCACUCUGAGGUUGAGAACGUUUAUGCCCAGAAAAUAUCCUGCUGUGGUUUGUAAUUUUCCUCUGAGCCCGUCUCCCUCUCUGGUUCUGAAAGGCUGAUCUGUGUGAUUAUAAAGGCUAAACUGAGAUGCAGGUGGUGGGAGGGGGCAUCAAAGAAAAGCCUACUAUUCUGCGCUACUGUAGUGUCUGAUAGGACAAGCAGUCUCAUAUCAAGAGAGUUUUUCUCUGUUUCAUUAUUCAGUAGGAAUUUCUGGAGAGAGAUGGAGAGUAAGGAAAGGCAGAGUUUUGUAUAUCCUGAAGCCUGACUAACUUGCUCUGAUGGUGGUGGUCUUUUCUACCUAGAGAAGACUUCCCUUUCUGCCUGCAUCUCAAGUCAAGCUGCUGUGUCACAAGUCCAGGGUGGGAAGAUCCGUCAACUAUCUCUUUGAGCAGUGCAGGCAGAGCUGGGAUGGCCCAGGCAUGUGGGAGAAGUUGGCAGGGUGCAAGGGAAUGAGGUAUUGCCAUCGGCACAGUCACAGGAAGCAGCUGGCAGGAGAGAGGAACCCAGUCAAGGCCAGUCCUUUGUCAUCGGAAAGAGUGGAAAAAUGCAUAUGUUUCCUUAUCUAACACCUACACCAAACAGGCUCAGGAGACUGUGCGUAAGACUGUUGCGGUGGCAACACUGACAGCCUCAUUGUCUAUCAUAUCUCUUGUUCAGUAACUUUGACUUUAACCUUGGACAAAGCAAAAAUGUCAAUAUAUGUUGGACACGCCACAGUUGGAAGACGUCACCUGCCUGAGCAUAAGAAGCAAAAUCAACAGUAAGAUAAAAGCUUGAACACAAGCUGAUCUAAGUUGGCAGUUCUUUACCUUCACUGUUCUGAAGGCAAAUGCACAUUCUGCAUCACAAAUUGAAUUUAGAAAAAAAAACACAGAUAGAUUAUUUGUGCACAGAAGCUAUAGUAUUUUUUCCUUUUAUAAGCUUUAUAAUAACGCAUAACUUUCCUUGCUAGCUAAUGUGGUUAUUAUCAAAGGCAGGUCUUAACUCUGGUGAAAGUGAAAGACACUACCAGGACUCCAAUUGAACAGGGCACAUCAAUUGUUAUAACCUCAAAUCAUCAAAUGAUGGUUAUCAGUGUUCACACUGGGUCUGGAGCUGAAAAGCACCAAGUAGUUUAAACAUAGAGGGGCUCCCUGCAGGGUAGUUGCAAUUUUUCUCAUCUCUCACAACCAUGUCCCAUCACAACAGGAAGCCCUGGAAAGAAGGGAAGGGUUGGUUAUACCAGUGCCUGUUUCUAUUCUUCAAGAGAAGCUUCUGUGUAAUGUAAACAGCUCUCUAUAUCAACAGCAAGGAUUGCAGAGGGUGCAGAUUUAAAAAAAAACAACUCCGCCCCAGACAUCUUGAUUGCAGAUGUUAUUAAAUGAUUCUCUGGUUCUGGAAAUACUCAUCCUGGCUGCAUGUUGGUCAUAGAAUACAUUCUGUUCUCAUGGUUUUCUGACUCAAAGAAUGGAAGAAGUGCAUCAAAAUCUAACAAGGAAGAAAAACACAUCUAUAUGUGGUGAUAGUUCUCCCUAUCUUUUGGUCUGGGAGUCAGGUUCCUGCCGGAGGCGGCCUGUAUGAGGGGCAGUGAAAGUAAUUAUUCUGUCAGCUUAAAUGUGAUUUUCUUCUAUGUGUCUAUUUCUCAUGAUGUCAGUUGACUAAUCUGUCAGUCAUCUUUGCUUGGCCUGUGGCCAUGUGAUGCUAUAUGCUGACGUACAUGCUUUAUUGUCCUAGCCUAAGAGAAAAUUGAAAAAGGCUCCAACUUAAACCUUGUUUCUUCAUCUAUGUGUUGUAUUUUUCUUUUGCUUCAUCUUACCUGUUCCUCCUUUUCUUGACUCAUUUCUUUCUUACUCAACUUAUUUUUUUUCUCCUCCCUGACUCAGUCUUUCCAUUAAUUUGUUAUCUUGGUUCAUCUCACUUUUUCUCUCCCACACCAUGGUUCCACUCCACCCUUUUCACAUCCCUCCAACCCAUCUCCUCAUUGUUUCCACAUCAGGGUCUACCACACAGACCACUUUGCCUUUGCCUUUGCCUCUUUUACCACACGGUGCUCCUCUCAGUCCUCCUAUGCUGGAUAUGAGCCAUUCCAAAGAAAAAGAAACAAAAGAAAUCAAAACUCACACAUUUUUACCUUAACUGCCCUGAUUUUCUCAGAAAAACUGGGGCCAAUCUAGAGAUUGUUAUAGGUUACAUGUAAAACUUCCCUGUACUAGUGAGUUUUACACUUUUUCUCAGUGGUACCAGGAUUUCAUCAUAAAGGAUUUCACUUGAACACCCCCAAAUGGCAAGUCCACUUUAUUUAUUACCUCAUUCUUCUCCCUGAUUUGAGAUUAAAACAUUGAGUCUCAAACAGAAAUCGUGAGAAUUUUAUUUGCGGAACAAUAUCUUAGCUAGAGCCUAGCUGGAUGGGAGGAGGAUUAAAGAUGAAGGCUUAGCAUGACAAUGGUUGAAAUCAGUAGGACAGCUAUCAGAUUCCUCUAACUGAAGCCAAAAUACAUAUAUGUUUUUUGUUAGCUUGGGAUGCUGGGAUUGUAAAAAUAAAAAAAUAAACUAUUUCACCCACAUCUGCUUUGAGACCCAUCUCAACACAGAGUGGCCAUGUGAGAGAUUUGGAUAUAGGUGUUCCUAUGUCAGAAAUUAAAUAAUCAGGUGCAGCAGACGUUCACAUUAGCAAGCUGGGAGGGGGGAUUAUGGGAAUGCAUUCCUCACACAGACUAUAUCUAUACUUCAGAUUUCACAUGGGCAAUGUGUUUUCCCGUCCGGAUGGAGGUCAGUUUUAUAUGAAUUCUGGUCUCGGUGACCAGGAGUGGAGACAUAAAAAGAACUAUUCAGUGUCUCUGGUUACAGAGAUAAGUGAAAGAGUCAUUGGAAAUAACUCUGUAAUAAUAGCAGCAGUAAGUACUGGGCAUGAUUUGAAUCUCUUGAUAGUGAUACUGGGAUGCCAGAAUAUUUAUCAAGCCAUUAGGAGAGGCUGUGCCUAGCUGAUAAGAUGACUACAACUGAUGAAGUCCACCUGAAGGCUCUGAUGGUGCUGGGGCAGAUUUGCAGCCAACAACGGCAGAUAGCAGGGAGUGCUGCCCUUAAGAGCGGCAUGUACCAUUCGUCAGCAAAAGUAUACCAUCUCCUGCCUGGGGCAAGCUUUUGGAAUUUUUAAUAAAUGCAGUAAAGAAACAUCUUGAUGUAUACUUUCCUGAUGGCUGGGGAGCCAGUAAGAGCCUGCCCUGCCAAGAAACACUUUCAAUGAGUUGGUGGCAGAGGGGAGGGGGCUGGGAGAAGUUGGUAGAGAAUCACUUCCAAAAGUGAUUAAUCCAGGGCCUCAUUUUAAAUUAUCUCUAUAUCAAAUUACCAAACUUGUGAUGGUUCUGUCUUUGGAAGAUGAAAUUGCCCCAUUUAUAUAUUUCAAUGUCUCUUAGUGUCAUCAAUUAAAAAAAAACAUUCUGUCAUUUUGACUGGAACUAGAUUUGGAACAGAUUUUUUGCUAUAAUCAUCUGUAAGCAACAUGAAUGGGGAAGGAUUUGACUCCGCUUUUCUGAUGUUUAAUCAGCCCAUGUGCUGUAUCAUGGAUGAGAUCAGGUGCUAGCACUUAAGUUAAGAAGUGUUUUUCUUUGAGUGGCUUUUGUUAGUCAAGGUUUUAAUAACUGUAGAAAGAUUUUAUUGCUUAUUUUGCCCCAAUUGCUUAUUAUCUGCUCAAGUAAAGCACUGAAGUUAAUGCUGGCAUUUGUUUUUUCCUUCUUGCUUUGCUGUGUAACUUCCCUCUGCUCAUGAUCGGAGCCCUCUGGAAUGUGGAAACUGGUGUGGCCGUCAGGCUAUGCAAGUUCAAGACAUUUUCUGUAUUUCUGUGUCUCUGUGUGUGUAGAGACAUAGAGAAUUCAGCAUAAACAGACAAUUUUUUCCUUAAAGGUAUUUUAAAGAUUAUAACAAUGAAGUACUUACAAAUAAAAAGGUUUUGUGCUGUUUA